AGAAGAACUAGUUGUGGGCUUAAAUCCUAUUCUGUUAAUGGUUCUUCUCUGCCGAGAUAGAUCUUGCAGAUUGUUACAAAUGUACAGUUGGUUUAAGCUGAGAUAAUGGAUGUGUAUAAAUGAGUUCUUAUUGAGUGAAAUCAUUUUGGAAGUUAACACCAGUUGCGUUCAUGUCUUUCUCUUAUACUGAUAGUUAAACCUUUUUAGUUGCCUUUUACCAGUAAUAUAAACACGGAGAAUGCUAUGCUAAUAAUGCAGAAGUUGAGCUUGUAUGGUUUAUUUUAAAGGUUUUAAGCAAAGUUAUUACACUUUUGCGCCUCUGGCCGUUGCAAAAUUCAGAUUAGAAUCAUACUUCGAGGUGGGAGAAUACUGAAAAUGCCAUGAUCGAUUCAACUCCAUGAUCUAUCAUCGAACGAAGUAACCAACUCUAACUAUAUUAUACGCUUUAAGGAAAUGACUGAGUAAGUUAUGUUACAUCCGUUUUUUACUUGUCAAUUGUUUUUCUCUCUAACAGCUUCCUUUACUUCUGGCCUUUUGUUUCCCUCUAUAUCUAAUCUUUUGGUUUGCCUUAGCUGAAGCCAAUGUAAUCUUUAUACUAAAAGCUGUUUCCCAGUCUGUUAACUCAGUCCAAACGUGUUCCUGUCUUCUGUUUCAUGUAGAUAAUAAGACUUAUAUAAUACACUCACAUUCGCAGAUGAUCAAUAAUAUGUAUUAUCUCAGUUCCAGUA
Molecule: long non-coding RNA, 728 nt
Organism: Brassica napus (rape)
Lineage: Eukaryota; Viridiplantae; Streptophyta; Magnoliopsida; Brassicales; Brassicaceae
Exons: 2
Source: RefSeq, a predicted model, not a curated record